This 253-nucleotide ribosomal RNA is filed under the name uncultured bacterium. RNAcentral describes it as "partial 16S ribosomal RNA". It matches the Rfam family "Bacterial small subunit ribosomal RNA", at positions 524 to 776 of the family's 1533-position model. The record is from RNAcentral.
UACAGAGGGCUCAAGCGUUGUUCGGAUUCAUUGGGCGUAAAGGGCGCGUAGGCUGCGGGGCAAGUCGGGUGUGAAAUCUCAGAGCUCAACUCUGAAACUGCACUCGAUACUGCUUUGCUUGAGGACUGGAGAGGAGAUUGGAAUUCCCGGUGUAGCAGUGAAAUGCGUAGAUAUCGUGAGGAAGACCAGUGGCGAAGGCGGCUCCCUGGACAGUUCCUGACGCUGAGGCGCGAAGGCCAGGGGAGCAAACGGG